UCUGGCUCAGAUUGAACGCUGGCGGCAGGCCUAACACAUGCAAGUGGAGCGGCAGCGGGAAGAUAGUUUGCUAUCUUUGCCGGCGAGCGGCGGACGGGUGAGUAAUGCCUAGGGAUCUGCCCAGUCGAGGGGGAUAACAGUUGGAAACGACUGCUAAUACCGCACACGCCCUACGGGGGAAAGGAGGGGACCUUCGGGCCUUCCGCGAUUGGAUGAACCUAGGUGGGAUUAGCUAGUUGGUGAGGUAAUGGCUCACCAAGGCGACGAUCCCUAGCUGUUCUGAGAGGAUGAUCAGCCACACUGGGACUGAGACACGGCCCACACUCCUACGGGAGGCAGCAGUGGGGAAUAUUGCACAAUGGGGGAAACCCUGAUGCACCCAUGCCGCGUGUGUGAAGAAGGCCUUCGGGUUGUAAAGCACUUUCAGUAGGGAGGAAAGGUAGCAGCUUAAUACGCUGUUGCUGUGACGUUACCUACAGAAGAAGGACCGGCUAACUCCGUGCCAGCAGCCGCGGUAAUACGGAGGGUCCGAGCGUUAAUCGGAAUUACUGGGCGUAAAGCGUGCGCAGGCGGUUUGUUAAGCGAGAUGUGAAAGCCCCGGGCUCAACCUGGGAAUUGCAUUUCGAACUGGCGAACUAGAGUCUUGUAGAGGGGGGUAGAAUUCCAGGUGUAGCGGUGAAAUGCGUAGAGAUCUGGAGGAAUACCGGUGGCGAAGGCGGCCCCCUGGACAAAGACUGACGCUCAGGCACGAAAGCGUGGGGAGCAAACAGGAUUAGAUACCCUGGUAGUCCACGCCGUAAACGAUGUCUACUCGGAGUUUGGUGUCUUGAACACUGGGCUCUCAAGCUAACGCAUUAAGUAGACCGCCUGGGGAGUACGGCCGCAAGGUUAAAACUCAAAUGAAUUGACGGGGGCCCGCACAAGCGGUGGAGCAUGUGGUUUAAUUCGAUGCAACGCGAAGAACCUUACCUACUCUUGACAUCCACGGAAUUCGCUAGAGAUAGCUUAGUGCCUUCGGGAACCGUGAGACAGGUGCUGCAUGGCU
This 1045-nucleotide ribosomal RNA is filed under the name Shewanella baltica. RNAcentral describes it as "bacterial SSU rRNA". It matches the Rfam family "Bacterial small subunit ribosomal RNA", at positions 18 to 1050 of the family's 1533-position model. The record is from RNAcentral. Lineage: Bacteria; Pseudomonadati; Pseudomonadota; Gammaproteobacteria; Alteromonadales; Shewanellaceae.